GGUUAAGUUAGAAAGGGCGUACGGUGAAUGCCUUGGCACUAGGAGCCGAUGAAGGACGGGACUAACACCGAUAUGCUUCGGGGAGCUGUAAGUGAGCUUUGAUCCGGAGAUUUCCGAAUGGGGAAACCCACUGUUCGUAAUGGAACAGUAUCUUUAUCUGAAUACAUAGGAUAUUGAAGGCAGACCCGGGGAACUGAAACAUCUAAGUACCCGGAGGAAGAGAAAGCAAAUGCGAUUUCCUGAGUAGCGGCGAGCGAAACGGAAUUAGCCCAAACCAAGAGGCUUGCCUCUUGGGGUUGUAGGACACUCUAUACGGAGUUACAAAGGAACGAAGUAAAUGAAGCGACCUGGAAAGGUCCGUCGAAGAAGGUAACAACCCUGUAGUUGAAACUUCGUUCCCUCUUGAGUGGAUCCUGAGUACGGCGGAACACGUGAAAUUCCGUCGGAAGCUGGGAGGACCAUCUCCCAAGGCUAAAUACUACCUAGUGACCGAUAGUGAACCAGUACCGUGAGGGAAAGGUGAAAAGCACCCCGGAAGGGGAGUGAAAGAGAUCCUGAAACCGUGUGCCUACAAGUAGUCAGAGCCCGUUAACGGGUGAUGGCGUGCCUUUUGUAGAAUGAACCGGCGAGUUACGAUCCCAUGCAAGGUUAAGCUGAUAAGGCGGAGCCGUAGCGAAAGCGAGUCUGAAUAGGGCGUUUAGUAUGUGGUUGUAGACCCGAAACCAGGUGAUCUACCCAUGUCCAGGGUGAAGUUCAGGUAACACUGAAUGGAGGCCCGAACCCACGCACGUUGAAAAGUGCGGGGAUGAGGUGUGGGUAGCGGAGAAAUUCCAAUCGAACCUGGAGAUAGCUGGUUCUCUCCGAAAUAGCUUUAGGGCUAGCCUCAUGUUGUGAGAGUCUUGGAGGUAGAGCACUGAUUGGACUAGGGGCCCCCAACGGGUUACCGAAUUCAGUCAAACUCCGAAUGCCAAAGACUUAUCCAUGGGAGUCAGACUGCGAGUGAUAAGAUCCGUAGUCAAAAGGGAAACAGCCCAGACCACCAGCUAAGGUCCCCAAGUAUACGUUAAGUGGAAAAGGAUGUGGAGUUGCUUAGACAACCAGGAUGUUGGCUUAGAAGCAGCCACCAUUUAAAGAGUGCGUAAUAGCUCACUGGUCGAGUGACUCUGCGCCGAAAAUGUACCGGGGCUAAACGUAUCACCGAAGCUGUGGAUUGACAUCUUUGAUGUCAGUGGUAGGAGAGCGUUCUAAGUGCUGUGAAGUCAGACCGUAAGGACUGGUGGAGCGCUUAGAAGUGAGAAUGCCGGUAUGAGUAGCGAAAGACAAGUGAGAAUCUUGUCCACCGAAUGCCUAAGGUUUCCUGAGGAAGGCUCGUCCGCUCAGGGUUAGUCGGGACCUAAGCCGAGGCUGAAAAGCGUAGGCGAUGGCCAACAGGUUGAUAUUCCUGUACCACCUCCCCGCCGUUUGAGUAAUGGGGGGACGCAGUAGGAUAGGGUAAGCGCGCUGCUGGAUAUGCGCGUUCAAGCAGUUAGGCUGAUGAGUAGGCAAAUCCGCUCAUCAUAAAGGCUGAGCUGUGAUGACGAGGGAAUUAUAGUACCGAAGUUCCUGAUUCCACACUGCCAAGAAAAGCCUCUAGCGAGGCGGGAGGUGCCCGUACCGCAAACCGACACAGGUAGGCGAGGAGAGAAUCCUAAGGUGAUCGAGAGAACUCUCGUUAAGGAACUCGGCAAAAUGACCCCGUAACUUCGGGAGAAGGGGUGCUCUGGUAGGGUGUAUAGCCCGAGAGAGCCGCAGUGAAUAGGCCCAGGCGACUGUUUAGCAAAAACACAGGUCUCUGCGAAGCCGCAAGGCGAAGUAUAGGGGCUGACGCCUGCCCGGUGCUGGAAGGUUAAGAGGAGGGGUUAUCCUUUGGGAGAAGCUCUGAAUCGAAGCCCCAGUAAACGGCGGCCGUAACUAUAACGGUCCUAAGGUAGCGAAAUUCCUUGUCGGGUAAGUUCCGACCCGCACGAAAGGCGUAACGAUCUGGGCACUGUCUCAACGAGAGACUCGGUGAAAUUAUAGUACCUGUGAAGAUGCAGGUUACCCGCGACAGGACGGAAAGACCCCGUGGAGCUUUACUGUAGCCUGAUAUUGAAUUUUGGUACAGCUUGUACAGGAUAGGUAGGAGCCUGAGAAGCCGGAGCGCUAGCUUCGGUGGAGGCGUCGGUGGGAUACUACCCUGGCUGUAUUGAAAUUCUAACCCGCGGCCCUGAUCGGGCCGGGAGACAGUGUCAGGUGGGCAGUUUGACUGGGGCGGUCGCCUCCUAAAAUGUAACGGAGGCGCCCAAAGGUUCCCUCAGAAUGGUUGGAAAUCAUUCGUAGAGUGUAAAGGCACAAGGGAGCUUGACUGCGAGACCUACAAGUCGAGCAGGGACGAAAGUCGGGCUUAGUGAUCCGGUGGUUCCGCAUGGAAGGGCCAUCGCUCAACGGAUAAAAGCUACCCCGGGGAUAACAGGCUUAUCUCCCCCAAGAGUCCACAUCGACGGGGAGGUUUGGCACCUCGAUGUCGGCUCAUCGCAUCCUGGGGCUGUAGUCGGUCCCAAGGGUUGGGCUGUUCGCCCAUUAAAGCGGUACGCGAGCUGGGUUCAGAACGUCGUGAGACAGUUCGGUCCCUAUCCGUCGUGGGCGUAGGAAAUUUGAGAGGAGCUGUCCUUAGUACGAGAGGACCGGGAUGGACACACCGCUGGUGUACCAGUUGUCUUGCCAAAGGCAUCGCUGGGUAGCUAUGUGUGGACGGGAUAAGUGCUGAAAGCAUCUAAGCAUGAAGCCCCCCUCAAGAUGAGAUUUCCCAUAGCGCAAGCUAGUAAGAUCCCUGAAAGAUGAUCAGGUUGAUAGGUCAGAGGUGGAAGCGUGGCGACAUGUGUAGCUGACUGAUACUAAUCGAUCGAGGACUUAACCAA
RNAcentral lists this ribosomal RNA (2936 nucleotides) under Priestia megaterium. Its description in RNAcentral is "23S ribosomal RNA". It matches the Rfam family "Bacterial large subunit ribosomal RNA". The record is from RNAcentral. Lineage: Bacteria; Bacillati; Bacillota; Bacilli; Caryophanales; Bacillaceae.